CCCUUAGAUGUUCUGGGCCGCACACGCGCUACACUGAAGGAGGCAGCGUGUACUCCUGGAUCGAAAGAUUUGGGUAAUCCGCGAAUCUCCUUCGUGCUAGGGAUUGAGGUUUGCAAUUAUCCUUCAUGAACGAGGAAUUCCCAGUAAGUGCAAGUCAUAAGCUUGCGCUGACUACGUCCCUGCCCUUUGUACACACCGCCCGUCGCUACUACCGAUUGAAUGAUUUAGUGAGGACUUCGGACUGGGACCGAUGCGGCUUUCGGGCUGCGUCGGUAUUCUGGAAAGAUGUCCAAACUGUAUCAUUUAGAGGAAGUAAAAGUCGUAACA
This 327-nucleotide ribosomal RNA is filed under the name uncultured eukaryote. Its description in RNAcentral is "partial 18S ribosomal RNA". It matches the Rfam family "Eukaryotic small subunit ribosomal RNA", at positions 1470 to 1796 of the family's 1831-position model. The record is from RNAcentral.